RNAcentral lists this ribosomal RNA (442 nucleotides) under uncultured bacterium. Its description in RNAcentral is "partial 16S ribosomal RNA". It matches the Rfam family "Bacterial small subunit ribosomal RNA", at positions 338 to 795 of the family's 1533-position model. The record is from RNAcentral.
CCUACGGGUGGCAGCAGUGGGGAAUAUUGGGCAAUGGAGGCAACUCUGACCCAGCAACGCCGCGUGAAUGAUGAAGGUCUUCGGAUUGUAAAGUUCUGUGAUGGGGGAUGAACACAAUGACGGUACCCCAAUAGCAAGCCACGGCUAACUACGUGCCAGCAGCCGCGGUAAUACGUAGGUGGCAAGCGUUAUCCGGAAUGACUGGGCGUAAAGGUUCGUUGGGGGUUUAGUGAGUUGGCGGUGGAAUUUCGGGGGUCAACCCCCGCGCUACCGGCGAAACUAUUAGACUAGAGUGCGGGAGGGGUAAGUGGAAUGCGUAGUGUAGCGGUGGAAUGCGUAGAUAUUAGGAGGAACAUCAGGGGCGAAGGCGACUUACUGGACUGUAACUGACACUGAGGCAUGAAAGCGUGGGGAGCAAACAGGAUUAGAUACCCUGGUAGUC